Molecule: non-coding RNA, 186 nt
Filed under: bovine gut metagenome
Source: RNAcentral
AACCGGUGCCUGAUCUUCUGCAUCAGGGUAAAAGAGAAACAGGUGAGAUUCCUGUACGAACCCGUCACUGUGAAUGGGGAGCUUGAAGCAAUGCGCAUAUGCGCGGUCACUGGCAAUCGCCGGGAAGGCAGCUUGAAGCGUGCGGAGAUACCGCGUACCCAUAAGCCAGGAAACCUGCCGGUUAUC